RNAcentral lists this non-coding RNA (55 nucleotides) under unclassified sequences. The record is from RNAcentral.
UUCCUAAUGCUACCAAAGACGGUUGCAAGUCCGAUUGAGAAAAGCAGAGCAUGAA